GUAGAUUCUUGUUGUAGAGUACCUCCUAAUAUUAAAUUUAAAAUGGAAGAAAACUUGGACAUAUUUGCUGCAAAGAAGCAUAGAACUCAAGAAGUUCUUAAUAAGUGUAAGCUACAUAGCUCUUAUUAUCGGGAACAAGAAGACCAUAUGUAUAGACAUCUGGGUGAUAAUGCUGUUCAAGAGAUCAUCCCUCCUAGUUCUCAAGGAAAGCAUAUAGCUAUUGAGAAAAGUCGAAGAAAAUGAAUGGGAGCUAAACAUUUAAAAGAACAAAAAUGAAUUGGUUCUUACUUUAUGCCGAGAAUAAGACCUGGUAACCAAC
Molecule: long non-coding RNA, 319 nt
Filed under: Olea europaea (common olive)
Lineage: Eukaryota; Viridiplantae; Streptophyta; Magnoliopsida; Lamiales; Oleaceae
Description: long non-coding RNA (OEUR_LNC009455)
Source: RNAcentral